Molecule: ribosomal RNA, 853 nt
Filed under: Melanelixia villosella
Lineage: Eukaryota; Fungi; Ascomycota; Lecanoromycetes; Lecanorales; Parmeliaceae
Description: eukaryotic LSU rRNA
Rfam family: Eukaryotic large subunit ribosomal RNA
Source: RNAcentral
GGGAUUGCUCAGUAACGGCGAGUGAAGCGGCAACAGCUCAAAUUUGAAAUCUGGCCCUUUCGGGGUCCGAGUUGUAAUUUGUAGAGAGUGCUUCGGGGGAGACCGCGGUCUAAGUCCAUUGGAACAUGGCGUCACAGAGGGUGAGAAUCCCGUAUGUGACCGUGGCUCGAACCCAUGUGAAGCCUCUUCGACGAGUCGAGUUGUUUGGGAAUGCAGCUCAAAAUGGGUGGUAAAUUUCAUCUAAAGCUAAAUACUGGCUGGAGACCGAUAGCGCACAAGUAGAGUGAUCGAAAGAUGAAAAGCACUUUGGAAAGAGAGUUAAAAAGUACGUGAAAUUGUUGAAAGGGAAGCGCUGGCAACCAGACCUGCCCGUAGGCGAUCAGCCGCUGUUCUCAGCGGUGCACUCGCUCUGCGAUCAGGCCAGCAUCGGUUCCGGCGGUCGGAUAAAGGCCUUGGGAAUGUACCUUCCCUUCGGGGGAGUCUUAUAGCCCUCGGUGCAAUGCGGCCAGCCGGGACCGAGGACCGCGCUUCGGCUAGGAUGCUGGCGUAAUGGUUGUCAGCGACCCGUCUUGAAACACGGACCAAGGAGUCUAACAUCUAUGCGAGUGUUUGGGUGUCAAACCCAUGCGCGGAAUGAAAGUGAACGGAGGUGAGAACCCUUAAGGGCGCAUCAUCGACCGAUCCAGAUGUCUUCGGAUGGAUUUGAGUAUGAGCAUAGCUGUUGGGACCCGAAAGAUGGUGAACUAUGCCUGAAUAGGGUGAAGCCAGAGGAAACUCUGGUGGAGGCUCGCAGCGGUUCUGACGUGCAAAUCGAUCGUCAAAUUUGGGUAUAGGGGCGAAAGACUAAUCACCA